This 301-nucleotide ribosomal RNA is filed under the name uncultured bacterium. RNAcentral's name for it is "partial 16S ribosomal RNA". It matches the Rfam family "Bacterial small subunit ribosomal RNA", at positions 509 to 807 of the family's 1533-position model. The record is from RNAcentral.
CAGUAGCCGCGGUAAUACGAAGGGGGCUAGCGUUGCUCGGAAUGACUGGGCGUAAAGGGCGCGUAGGCGGCGAUCAAAGUCAGGCGUGAAAUUCCUGGGCUCAACCUGGGGGCUGCGCUUGAUACUUGGUUGCUUGAGUGGGGAAGAGGGUCGUGGAAUUCCCAGUGUAGAGGUGAAAUUCGUAGAUAUCGGAAGGAACACCUGUGGCGAAAGCGGCUCACUGGACCAUUUCUGACGCUGAUGCACGAAAGCUAGGGGAGCAAACAGGAUUAGAUACCCCCGUAGUCCCUGUCUCUUAUAC